GCGGGAGUAGUUCAAUUGGUUAGAGCACCGCCCUGUCAAGGCGGAAGUUGCGGGUUCGAGCCCCGUCUCUCGCG
RNAcentral lists this transfer RNA (74 nucleotides) under Chlamydia trachomatis. RNAcentral describes it as "tRNA-Asp". It matches the Rfam family "tRNA". Rfam says of the family: Transfer RNA (tRNA) molecules are approximately 80 nucleotides in length. The record is from RNAcentral. Lineage: Bacteria; Pseudomonadati; Chlamydiota; Chlamydiia; Chlamydiales; Chlamydiaceae. RNAcentral also lists the same sequence under 8 other names.